UCCCAGAAGAGCUCCCUCCACACACUGAUAGGAUGUGAGCCCAUCCCCCCUCCCCCCUUCUCGCAGGUUCACACCCGAGACUCCCUGCAAGCCUGUGUUUGGUUGACUCCCGCCUGGAGUGAUGGGGGACGUUCAUCAUGGGGAUAUUGGGAUCCUUUGUCUGCACCACGGCCAUCAUCUCUGGUUACAUGUCACCUUCUAUAUGCUUCGAGCGAAUACAAAUCCCCCUGAAGAAGACCAAAUUGUGGUCGAAACGC
Molecule: long non-coding RNA, 257 nt
Organism: Rana temporaria (common frog)
Lineage: Eukaryota; Metazoa; Chordata; Amphibia; Anura; Ranidae
Exons: 3
Source: RefSeq, a predicted model, not a curated record